RNAcentral lists this ribosomal RNA (301 nucleotides) under uncultured bacterium. RNAcentral's name for it is "partial 16S ribosomal RNA". It matches the Rfam family "Bacterial small subunit ribosomal RNA", at positions 509 to 809 of the family's 1533-position model. The record is from RNAcentral.
CAGUCGCCACGGGAAAACGAAGGGGGCUAGCGUCGUUCGGAAUUACUGGGCGUAAAGGGCGCGUAGGCGGCCAUUCAAGUUAGAUGUGAAAGCCCUGGGCUCAACCUAGGAAUUGCAUUUGAUACUGUUUGGCUUGAGUUCGGGAGAGGUGAGUGGAAUUCCCAGUGUAGAGGUGAAAUUCGUAGAUAUUGGGAAGAACACCAGUGGCGAAGGCGGCUUACUGGCUCAUACUGGACGCUGAGGUGCGAAAGCGUGGGGAGCAAACAGUAUUAGAUACCCCUGUAGUCCCUGUCUCUUAUAU